CGAACGCUGGCGGCGUGCUUCACACAUGCAAGUCGAACGGAAAGGCCCCUUUGGGGGUCCUCGAGUGGCGAACGGGUGAGUAACACGUGAGUAACCUGCCCUUGACUUCGGGAUAACUUCAGGAAACUGGGGCUAAUACCGGAUAGGAAUCCUUGCUGCAUGGUGGGGGUUGGAAAGCUUCGGCGGUUUUGGAUGGACUCGCGGCUUAUCAGCUUGUUGGUGGGGUAGUGGCUUACCAAGGCUUUGACGGGUAGCCGGCCUGAGAGGGCGACCGGCCACAUUGGGACUGAGAUACGGCCCAGACUCCUACGGGAGGCAGCAGUGGGGAAUAUUGCACAAUGGGCGGAAGCCUGAUGCAGCAACGCCGCGUGCGGGAUGACGGCCUUCGGGUUGUAAACCGCUUUCAGCAGGGGCGAAGCUUGUGGUGACGGUACCUGCAGAAGAAGCACCGGCUAACUACGUG
This 463-nucleotide ribosomal RNA is filed under the name uncultured bacterium. RNAcentral's name for it is "partial 16S ribosomal RNA". It matches the Rfam family "Bacterial small subunit ribosomal RNA", at positions 30 to 507 of the family's 1533-position model. The record is from RNAcentral.